This 796-nucleotide ribosomal RNA is filed under the name uncultured Methanosarcina sp. Its description in RNAcentral is "bacterial SSU rRNA". It matches the Rfam family "Archaeal small subunit ribosomal RNA", at positions 85 to 879 of the family's 1478-position model. The record is from RNAcentral. Lineage: Archaea; Methanobacteriati; Methanobacteriota; Methanomicrobia; Methanosarcinales; Methanosarcinaceae.
ACGGCUCAGUAACACGUGGAUAACCUGCCCUUGGGUCCGGCAUAACCCCGGGAAACUGGGGAUAAUACCGGAUAACGCAUAUAUGCUGGAAUGCUUUAUGCGUAAAAUGGAUUCGUCUGCCCAAGGAUGGGUCUGCGGCCUAUCAGGUAGUAGUGGGUGUAAUGUACCUACUAGCCAACAACGGGUACGGGUUGUGAGAGCAAGAGCCCGGAGAUGGAUUCUGAGACAUGAAUCCAGGCCCUACGGGGCGCAGCAGGCGCGAAAACUUUACAAUGCGGGAAACCGUGAUAAGGGGACACCGAGUGCCAGCAUCAUAUGCUGGCUGUCCGGGUGUGUAAAAUACACCUGUCAGCAAGGGCCGGGCAAGACCGGUGCCAGCCGCCGCGGUAACACCGGCGGCCCGAGUGGUGAUCGUGAUUAUUGGGUCUAAAGGGUCCGUAGCCGGUUUGGUCAGUCCUCCGGGAAAUCUGACGGCUUAACCGUUAGGCUUUCGGGGGAUACUGCCAGGCUUGGAACCGGGAGAGGUAAGAGGUACUACAGGGGUAGGAGUGAAAUCUUGUAAUCCCUGUGGGACCACCUGUGGCGAAGGCGUCUUACCAGAACGGGUUCGACGGUGAGGGACGAAAGCUGGGGGCACGAACCGGAUUAGAUACCCGGGUAGUCCCAGCCGUAAACGAUGCUCGCUAGGUGUCAGGCAUGGCGCGACCGUGUCUGGUGCCGCAGGGAAGCCGUGAAGCGAGCCACCUGGGAAGUACGGCCGCAAGGCUGAAACUUAAAGGAAUUGGCGGGGGAGCAC